This 499-nucleotide ribosomal RNA is filed under the name Vibrio sp. RNAcentral describes it as "bacterial SSU rRNA". It matches the Rfam family "Bacterial small subunit ribosomal RNA", at positions 86 to 581 of the family's 1533-position model. The record is from RNAcentral. Lineage: Bacteria; Pseudomonadati; Pseudomonadota; Gammaproteobacteria; Vibrionales; Vibrionaceae.
CGGCGUCGAGCGGCGGACGGGUGAGUAAUGCCUAGGAAAUUGCCCUGAUGUGGGGGAUAACCAUUGGAAACGAUGGCUAAUACCGCAUGAUGCCUACGGGCCAAAGAGGGGGACCUUCGGGCCUCUCGCGUCAGGAUAUGCCUAGGUGGGAUUAGCUAGUUGGUGAGGUAAGGGCUCACCAAGGCGACGAUCCCUAGCUGGUCUGAGAGGAUGAUCAGCCACACUGGAACUGAGACACGGUCCAGACUCCUACGGGAGGCAGCAGUGGGGAAUAUUGCACAAUGGGCGCAAGCCUGAUGCAGCCAUGCCGCGUGUGUGAAGAAGGCCUUCGGGUUGUAAAGCACUUUCAGUCGUGAGGAAGGUAGUGUAGUUAAUAGCUGCAUUAUUUGACGUUAGCGACAGAAGAAGCACCGGCUAACUCCGUGCCAGCAGCCGCGGUAAUACGGAGGGUGCGAGCGUUAAUCGGAAUUACUGGGCGUAAAGCGCAUGCAGGUGGUUU